Molecule: ribosomal RNA, 429 nt
Filed under: Bacteroidota bacterium
Lineage: Bacteria; Pseudomonadati; Bacteroidota
Description: Bacteroidetes bacterium partial 16S ribosomal RNA
Rfam family: Bacterial small subunit ribosomal RNA
Source: RNAcentral
UAGGGAAUCUUCGGCAAUGGGGGGAACCCUGACCGAGCAACGCCGCGUGAGUGAAGAAGGUUUUCGGAUCGUAAAGCUCUGUUGUUAAGGAAGAACGAGUGUGAGAAUGGAAAGUCCAUGCUGUGACGGUACUUAACCAGAAAGGGACGGCUAACUACGUGCCAGCAGCCGCGGUAAUACGUAGGUCCCGAGCGUUGUCCGGAUUUAUUGGGCGUAAAGCGAGCGCAGGCGGUUAGAAAAGUCUGAAGUGAAAGGCAGUGGCUCAACCAUUGUAGGCUUUGGAAACUGUUUAACUUGAGUGCAGAAGGGGAGAGUGGAAUUCCAUGUGUGACGGUGAAAUGCGUAGAUAUAUGGAGGAACACCGGUGGCGAAAGCGGCUCUCUGGUCUGUAACUGACGCUGAGGCUCGAAAGCGUGGGGAGCGAACAGG